UGGGGAAUCUUGCACAAUGGACGAAAGUCUGAUGCAGCAACGCCGCGUGGGGGAUGAAAUAUCUUGGUAUGUAAACUCCUUUCGAUGGGGAAGAUUAUGACGGUACCCAUAGAAGAAGCCCCGGCUAACUUCGUGCCAGCAGCCGCGGUAAUACGAGGGGGGCAAGCGUUGUUCGGAUUUAUUGGGCGUAAAGGGUGCGUAGGCGGUUUGAUAAGUCUGAUGUGAAAUCUAUGGGCUCAACCCAUAGUCUGCAUUAGAAACUGUCGGGCUUGAGUAUGGGAGAGGUGAGUGGAAUUUCCGGUGUAGCGGUGAAAUGCGUAGAUAUCGGAAGGAACACCUGUGGCGAAAGCGGCUCACUGGACCAUAACUGACGCUGAUGCACGAAAGCUAGGGGAGCAGACAGGAUUAGAUACCCUGGUAGUCCUAGCCCUAAACGAUGAUUGCUUGAUGUGGCAGGUACCCAAUCCUGCCGUGUCGAAGCUAACGCGAUAAGCAAUCCGCCUGGGGAGUACGGUCGCAAGGCUG
Molecule: ribosomal RNA, 525 nt
Filed under: uncultured bacterium
Lineage: Bacteria
Description: bacterial SSU rRNA
Rfam family: Bacterial small subunit ribosomal RNA
Source: RNAcentral